UCUAUGGCCCCUACCUUCUCUAUGACUUUUGGCCAACCGCCCGCCUGUUCAGUGUCCGUCGAUCCCUUCCGCAACGCCUUUCACUUUAUCCUCCGCACAGCCACUGUACCUAUAGCCCACGCCAGCACCCUGCCGAACUUCCCCGUACGUCACCUCCCCACAGGCCCAGCUGCCCCCCUUGUUCCUUGAACCACGCCCAACACAACAAUACACGAUCGUGGGGAUUGUUUGUGUUUUCGGGAUUUUUCUUUUUUUUCCUGUUAAGUGAUGAGUGAUUUCCAUUUCCGAGCUCCGUUGCAACCACUUCCUCUGCAAUCUCCCCUUUCUGUUUGCUUUGCUUCUCAGACUGGAAUCUGCAACGGCCAUCCGCCGGCCUCCUGUCCUUCUCCGCAAUGGCAUGCUUCCAUGAGUUUUUUAUACAUGGAAUAAGAUACGUAUGACCCAAUAACCAUUGGUUUUGAAAUGAACCACGAUGGAACAACCUUUAUUUUGCUAUAUUCUUGUCUUAAGAAAAACUCUACUAAAAAAAUGACUUAAGAAAAAGCCAACAGCCUUUCAAAUAUUAUUAGUUCUCGCAUGGGUUUGCAGAGUUAUUGUUAUAUUUCAAUAAUUCGAGGAAAGGUUGCCGCUUCUAUGAAGCUGCUGUUUGGGCUUGAUUUACUUUAACCUUUAAUGCUGCUCAAUGCAAUGUGAUUGUUCACUUAUAAAUGUGCAAGUCCUUUGUGGAUGUCCCACCUGUUGCGAUUAACUCAAUGCCAUGUCUAGAGGUUUGCUACUUUAUGCCUAUAAAGGUCCAUAUUCCAAAGAGAGAGCUGGGAAUGUGCUAUCUCGUGUUGAAUGCCAUUUGCACCACGUCCCUUUCUUUCUGGACUGCUUUGAAUUAUAUAUAUAUGGACAAAACACACACACACACACACACAUAUAUAUAUAUAAAUUUAACCAAUCUUAAUUUUCGGUGCGGUGUUCCCUCUACUAAUGUUGCAUUUACUUAUUUCUAAAACUAAUUUUCUUCCAUAUCUAAUUUUUGUUGGGUUACAUGGGGCAACAUAUGGUUACUGCAUAGCUCUUCCUUUUAAGGCGGUACUCAACCAAGUUCGUUAGCAGACUUGCUCAUAGAUCUCAGGCUUGAUUAAUGCACUUGUGUCAAGGCACAGGAGAACAAGACAUUGUCUCAGGUCUCUGCUUCUCUUCCACAAAACUCAAGUUCUUAAGAGAAGUUUUUCUUUCCCCAAUUUUGCCAACCUAAAUUUUAGUCUCAUUAUGUUGAGAUUUUAUAGCCACGUAUCGAAUAGGCUUAGGUAAUUUAUCAGAAAAUUGGCGGAACAUAAUCGUUCUUUAGGAAAUUGUCUAUAGAUCAGAUUUGGUAAUUUAGUGAAUUUAAACUUAUCCGAGAGCUUCUGAAUUUAUUUUGUAUUUUAAGGAGACAAAACUGAGCGACAUCUCCCUUCCUCUAAAUGAUUCUUUCACCCAUCCCACUAUUCCAGAUUCACUGCUGCAUUAUAUCCUUUAAUUAAAGCCACACUUUCUGAUGUCAUCCAUUGAAUCUUUGCUUAUUGAGUAGGAGUCCAAAUAAGCAACUAUUUUUUCACGUUUUGAGAAAAAGGAAAGAUCGUGGAUGGAAAGAUGCACUUGAUAGAUAGAUUGUCUAUCUUUCCACACUUGUCAAGGACCAUUCCUACUUCAAAAGAGCUCAAGUUUCUGAACCUUCUGACCGGAUACAGAAAAUUCCAUUUAUUGUUUAGAAUUAAUAUGCAAGUAUUUCUACUCUCUGAUGAAAAUUACUGCUGGGUUCUAUAGGUGUAUGUUCAUGCUUGAUGAGCGCCUAAGGAUCUGGAAACACGCCUUUGGAUUGACAUCACAUGAUGAGUUAUCCGAUUUAGAAUAUUCAUCUCACCUUUCAAGCCACUGCACAUCACCUGAUUUCAAUAGAUUUUUUAGCAUUAACUUCAUGAUUCUUGAUAGUUUUUUUUUUUUGUGAAGAUUUGCUUUGUUUAACCUGCAUUUUUAUCUAUACAGGUUGUGAGCAGGGAUUGUCUUUAAAGUAUAUUAGUACAUGUUCGCAUGGAUUGUAUAAUAUUAUAGUAACCACAAUACUCUGGUAAAAAACUUGUCAUUUGUUCUGUAGACCCAUGUUUGCGUAGUUGAAAGGUUCAAAGGAAGUAGUAAGGAUGCAUAUUAUGAGGUUACAUCCCUCAAAAGCAGCUGCUCUAGCUACUUCAAGCCAUCCAUACAGUGACUAGCGAUGCUACCCAAAAAGAAUUAUAUUGCCUUCGUUUCACAUAGCAACUAUUGAUUUCGUUUUCCGAGAUACUUGUGCUACGCCUGAGCCUGAAAAGGACUUCCGGUCACUGCAGUAGUUGAGAUAGAACUUUGGGAGCGACGAUUCUUCCGCAACAGCCGCCAAGUAUCUCCCCACAAAAAGUUCCAAGAACCGGAGUCUGCUUUUCCACUGCAGCAGGGGACGUUAGGAGAGAAUGAUGCUAUGUUGAGAGACAAAAGGAUCACUUCGAGACUAGACAGAAGACAGUGACAAUGAAACACUGCUAUUGGGAAGGAAACGCAUAUAUGGACGAGCUAGCGAAUUAUGCACUCGCGCUUCCCCGAAGAACCCAAAAACUUAGCCUUUAGCCCAGGGGCUUGAUCUUUUGUAGUUCUAUAUAUCACGAAUACAUGGACGUUCUAUAUAUAUGGACGAGCUAGCGAAUUAUCAGGGACGUCUUGUGGGACACUCUGCAUCAUUUUUGUAUUGCUUAAUGUUUUAUUUUUUUAAUACAAUUGGG
This is a non-coding RNA of Punica granatum (pomegranate), 2780 nucleotides long. NCBI's taxonomy places the organism in Eukaryota, Viridiplantae, Streptophyta, Magnoliopsida, Myrtales, Lythraceae. The record is from RefSeq and is a predicted model, not a curated record.